This 379-nucleotide long non-coding RNA is filed under the name Nicotiana benthamiana. RNAcentral describes it as "long non-coding RNA (NBEN_LNC017926)". The record is from RNAcentral. Lineage: Eukaryota; Viridiplantae; Streptophyta; Magnoliopsida; Solanales; Solanaceae.
UUUUGGACAGGCGGAGUGAAAGAACAAGCAUGAGAGCAUUUUUUGAGAUUGCAGAAGCGUAAAGAAAAACAGUAAACAUACAAGCUUUUUGAGCUUUUGAAAAUUAGUACACAGAUAGUUGAAAUACUGGUCCAAAUCUGGACAAGAAAAUACAGUAGAAACCUUUUUGCAUAGAUGGUUUAAAAAAUGUGGCAGGAGUUUGUAAAAAAAUAGAGAGGGCUUCAGAAACAAACGAAUUCAGACAGAAGCGAAUUAAUUUGAACACGACUUGAAGGUGAUUAGCCCAUAAGCCUUGCCUAUGCGUUAUUAAAGAUGGUGAGCAUGCAAUGGUUUAUAGUUUUAACAAGGAGUUUGUUAACCAGUCUUACUUCUAUUUAAC